AUUGAACGCUGGCGGCAGGCCUAACACAUGCAAGUCGAACGGAGUGGCGGACGUGUGAGUAAUGUCUGGGAAACUGCCUGAUGGAGGGGGUUCACUACUGGACACGGUAGCUAAUUCCGCAUACUAUCAGAUGAGCCUGGGUCGGAUGAGCUAGUUGGUGGGGUAAAGGCCUACCAAGGCGACGAUCCGUAACUGGUCUGAGAGGAUGAUCAGUCACACUGGAACUGAGACACGGUCCAGACUCCUACGGGAGGCAGCAGUGGGGAAUAUUGGACAAUGGGCGAAAGCCUGAUCCAGCCAUGCCGCGUGUGUGAAGAAGGUCUUCGGAUUGUAAAGCACUUGAAGUUGGGAGGCGUUACCAACAGAAUAAGCACCGGCUAACUUCGUGCCAGCCGCCGCGGUAAUAC
This 407-nucleotide ribosomal RNA is filed under the name uncultured bacterium. Its description in RNAcentral is "partial 16S ribosomal RNA". It matches the Rfam family "Bacterial small subunit ribosomal RNA", at positions 30 to 526 of the family's 1533-position model. The record is from RNAcentral.